This 372-nucleotide ribosomal RNA is filed under the name uncultured organism. RNAcentral's name for it is "bacterial SSU rRNA". It matches the Rfam family "Bacterial small subunit ribosomal RNA", at positions 526 to 896 of the family's 1533-position model. The record is from RNAcentral.
CGGGGGGGGCAAGCGUUGUUCGGAAUUACUGGGCGUAAAGGGCGCGUAGGCGGCUCGCUAAGUCGGGUGUGAAAACUCUGGGCUCAACCCAGAGCCUGCAUUCGAAACUGACGGGCUAGAGUUCUGGAGGGGAAAGCGGAAUUCCUGGUGUAGCGGUGAAAUGCGUAGAUAUCAGGAGGAACACCGGUGGCGAAGGCGGCUUUCUGGACAGAAACUGACGCUGAGGCGCGAAAGCUAGGGGAGCAAACAGGAUUAGAUACCCUGGUAGUCCUAGCCCUAAACGAUGGAUACUUGCUGUGAGGGGGAUUGAAUCCCUUCGUGGCGAAGCUAACGCAUUAAGUAUCCCGCCUGGGGAGUACGGUCGCAAGGCUG